CUGGCAUCGAUGACAUGGGAACUAUUCUGUGUCUUUUCACCCGAGAGCUCUUCAAUCAACUGAUGAUCGCACCUGCAUAACUGCUACCAGACCUGCUAAGGGGGAGCCUGGCCCAGCCAUCUCUUCUUUGUGGUCACAAGCAUGAACGGCCCUGGGACAUCCUCUUUCCUCACUGUCCCCUCACAGCAUUUCCUGACCACUGUGGCCUUGGUCCCACCACCCACCUGUGCAGCUCAUCUGGCCAUGAACCUCUCCAGCUCACAACUCUGUUUUCUCCCUGUUGUUUCUAUGAAACCAGGUUCCAGCCCCGCCACACAGUCUGCACGGCCUCCACCGCAGCUCUGGUGAGCCUCUUGGCCAGCUCCUGGUGACAGCGUGCACCUCCCUGCUCUGAGAAGGUCUCCCUCUCCUCUCUGCCCACCCUGUACAGAGACAUCUUUCAAGCCCAUCCCAGAGGAGAGUGGCCUCUCUCCUCAACCCCAAGAGGACGGCCUCUCAUGUGGCUGUCACCCAUCUGACCCCUAUCACAGACCUGAGGGUAAGUGGUGCUCACGGGCCCACAUCUGUCAGCCUGCGCCUGGUUGGAGACGCCUCCCUCUCAUUUGUCCUUGCUUGCUGCGUGACUUUGGCAAGUGCUUGCCUCUUUGAGACCCUCAGUUUUCACACCUGAGAAAUAGAAAGGUGGUGCCUGCCCCAGCUGCCACGCAGAAGAGUUUAGGUGGCAUGUGAGAAAAUGCCUUAUGAACUACGAUGUGAGCAACUGCAGCAUGCUGUGAACACCGCUUUCAUGAGCUCCUCAGGGGCAGGGUAACACCCAAGCAUUCUUACACCUCCCACCGGGCUUGUCACGACCGUAUGCAAAUGAAGGCCAUCAAGCGUGUUUGAUCAGUGAUGUAUUUCUUUAUUUUUAGUUGUAGAAUAUGACAACUCUAUUUUUAGCAGCUAUAGCGGCCAAAACUUUGUUACCACUCAGCAGUUGUGUGUUCUUCAAGAGUAGGUUUUGUGCUUUCAAAAUAUCUGAAUCCUCUACCAUUUACAGGUGUUCUGUGCAUACUUGGUGUAUGAGUUCCUCAGGAAGGAAGAAAAAUGUGCCCUUUUUAUCUUUUAAAAAGAUGGCUUGG
Molecule: long non-coding RNA, 1121 nt
Filed under: Homo sapiens (human)
Lineage: Eukaryota; Metazoa; Chordata; Mammalia; Primates; Hominidae
Description: long non-coding RNA NONHSAT148199.1
Source: RNAcentral